UUCACGGAGAGUUUGAUCCUGGCUCAGGACGAACGCUGGCGGCGUGCUUUAGACAUGCAAGUGGAGCGACGAAGGGCCUUCGGGCCUGGCAGAGCCGCGAACGGGUGAGUAACACGUGGGUAACCUGCCCCGAUGAUUGGGACAACCCGACGAAAGUCGGGCUAAUACCAAAUGUGCUU
This 179-nucleotide ribosomal RNA is filed under the name Solirubrobacterales bacterium. Its description in RNAcentral is "partial 16S ribosomal RNA". It matches the Rfam family "Bacterial small subunit ribosomal RNA", at positions 1 to 180 of the family's 1533-position model. The record is from RNAcentral. Lineage: Bacteria; Bacillati; Actinomycetota; Thermoleophilia; Solirubrobacterales.